AAUCUUCCGCAAUGGACGAAAGUCUGACGGAGCAACGCCGCGUGAGUGAUGAAGGUUUUCGGAUCGUAAAACUCUGUUGUUAGGGAAGAACGAGUAUCGGAGUCACUGCCGGUACCUUGACGGUACCUGAUGAGAAAGCCACGUCUAACUACGCGCCAGCAGCCGCGGUAAUACGUAGGUGGCCAGCGUUGGCCGGAUAUAUUGGGCGUAAAGCGCGCGCAGGCGGUCUUUUAAGUCUGAUGUAAAAUCUUACAGCUUAACUGGAAGCGGUCAUUGGAAACUGGGAGACAUGAAUGCAGAAGAGGAGAGUGGAAUUCCAUGUGUAGCGGUGAAAUGCGUAGAGAUAUGGAGGAACACCAGUGGAGAAGGCGACUCUCUGGUCUGUAACUGACGCUGAGGCGCGAAAGCGUGGAGAUCAAACA
Molecule: ribosomal RNA, 422 nt
Filed under: uncultured bacterium
Lineage: Bacteria
Description: partial 16S ribosomal RNA
Rfam family: Bacterial small subunit ribosomal RNA
Source: RNAcentral